Molecule: transfer RNA, 63 nt
Filed under: Cosmoscarta heros
Lineage: Eukaryota; Metazoa; Arthropoda; Insecta; Hemiptera; Cercopidae
Description: tRNA-Thr
Rfam family: tRNA
About the family: Transfer RNA (tRNA) molecules are approximately 80 nucleotides in length. Their secondary structure includes four short double-helical elements and three loops (D, anti-codon, and T loops).
Source: RNAcentral
GUUUAUAUAGUUUAACCAAAACAAUGGUCUUGUAAACCAUAAUUAGACCUAAUCUUUUAAACU